This 860-nucleotide ribosomal RNA is filed under the name Tsukamurella sp. DEM40. RNAcentral's name for it is "bacterial SSU rRNA". It matches the Rfam family "Bacterial small subunit ribosomal RNA", at positions 118 to 986 of the family's 1533-position model. The record is from RNAcentral. Lineage: Bacteria; Bacillati; Actinomycetota; Actinomycetes; Mycobacteriales; Tsukamurellaceae.
UGGGUGACCUGCCCUGUACUUCGGGAUAAGCCCUUGGGGUAACUGGGUCUAAUACCGGAUAUGACCUUCUCCUGCAUGGGGGUUGGUGGAAAGCUUUUGCGGUACAGGAUGGGCCCGCGGCCUAUCAGCUUGUUGGUGGGGUAAUGGCCUACCAAGGCGACGACGGGUAGCCGGCCUGAGAGGGCGACCGGCCACACUGGGACUGAGACACGGCCCAGACUCCUACGGGAGGCAGCAGUGGGGAAUAUUGCACAAUGGGCGCAAGCCUGAUGCAGCGACGCCGCGUGAGGGAUGACGGCCUUCGGGUUGUAAACCUCUUUCAGUAGGGACGAAGCGCAAGUGACGGUACCUACAGAAGAAGCACCGGCCAACUACGUGCCAGCAGCCGCGGUAAUACGUAGGGUGCGAGCGUUGUCCGGAUUUACUGGGCGUAAAGAGCUCGUAGGCGGUUUGUCGCGUCGUCUGUGAAAACCCGAGGCUUAACCUCGGGCCUGCAGGCGAUACGGGCAGACUUGAGUACUGUAGGGGAGACUGGAAUUCCUGGUGUAGCGGUGGAAUGCGCAGAUAUCAGGAGGAACACCGGUGGCGAAGGCGGGUCUCUGGGCAGUAACUGACGCUGAGGAGCGAAAGCGUGGGUAGCGAACAGGAUUAGAUACCCUGGUAGUCCACGCCGUAAACGGUGGGUACUAGGUGUGGGUUUCCUUCCACGGGAUCCGUGCCGUAGCUAACGCAUUAAGUACCCCGCCUGGGGAGUACGGCCGCAAGGCUAAAACUCAAAGGAAUUGACGGGGGGCCCGCACAAGCGGCGGAGCAUGUGGAUUAAUUCGAUGCAACGCGAAGAACCUUACCUGGGUUUGACA